Molecule: small nucleolar RNA, 81 nt
Filed under: Monopterus albus (swamp eel)
Lineage: Eukaryota; Metazoa; Chordata; Actinopteri; Synbranchiformes; Synbranchidae
Source: RNAcentral
GUUGUCAAUGAUGUUUUACUACUUUCUUUUGAGUUUCAAUGACCAUGAGAUUACCUUACAUGCACUACCAUCUGAGGCAUC